Molecule: ribosomal RNA, 497 nt
Filed under: uncultured bacterium
Lineage: Bacteria
Description: partial 16S ribosomal RNA
Rfam family: Bacterial small subunit ribosomal RNA
Source: RNAcentral
GAUGAACGCUGGCGGCGUGCCUAAUACAUGCAAGUCGAGCGAACAGACGAGGAGCUUGCUCCUCUGACGUUAGCGGCGGACGGGUGAGUAACACGUGGAUAACCUACCUAUAAGACUGGGAUAACUUCUGGAAACCGGAGCUAAUACCGAAAAAUAUAUUGAACCGCAGGGUGCAAUAGUGAAAGACGGUUUUGCUGUCACUUAUAGAUCUAUCCGAGCCUCAUUAGCUAGUUGGUAAGGUAACGGUUUACCAAGGCAACGAGGCGUAGACGACCUGAGAGGGUGAUCGGCCACACGGGAACGGAGACACGGACCAGACUCCGACGGGAGGCAGCAGUAGGGAAUCUUCCGCGAUGGGCGAAAGCCUGACGGAGCAACGCCGGGUGAGUGAUGAAGGUCUUCGGACGGUAAAGCUCUGUUAUUAGGGAAGAACAAAUGUGUAAGUAACUGUGCACAUAUUGACGGUACCUGAUGAAAAAGCCACGGCUAACUACGUG